Molecule: ribosomal RNA, 927 nt
Filed under: uncultured bacterium
Lineage: Bacteria
Description: bacterial SSU rRNA
Rfam family: Bacterial small subunit ribosomal RNA
Source: RNAcentral
AGAGUUUGAUCCUGGCUCAGAAUCAACGCUGGCGGCGUGCCUAACACAUGCAAGUCGAACGCGAGAGGGGCUUCGGCCCCAAUUGAGUGGCGAACGGGUGAGUAACGCGUGGGUGACCUACCUUCGAGUGGGGGAUAACGUCCCGAAGGGGACGCUAAUACCGCAUAACAUCCUCUUUUUGAACAGAGGGAGAUCAAAGCCGGGGAUCGCAAGACCUGGCGCUUGAUGAGGGGCCCGCGUCUGAUUAGCUAGUUGGUGGGGUAAUGGCUCACCAAGGCGACGAUCAGUAUCCGGCCUGAGAGGGCGGACGGACACACUGGGACUGAGACACGGCCCAGACUCCUACGGGAGGCAGCAGUGGGGAAUUGUUCGCAAUGGGCGCAAGCCUGACGACGCAACGCCGCGUGGAGGAUGAAGGUCUUCGGAUUGUAAACUCCUGUUGCCCGGGACGAAUAGCUUCGACCUAACACGUCGGAGUAUGACGGUACCGGGUGAGGAAGCCCCGGCUAACUCUGUGCCAGCAGCCGCGGUAAUACAGAGGGGGCAAGCGUUGUUCGGAAUUACUGGGCGUAAAGGGCGCGUAGGCGGCCUGUUAAGUCGAACGUGAAAUCCCCGGGCUCAACCCGGGAACUGCGUCCGAUACUGGCUGGCUUGAAUCCGGGAGAGGGAUGUGGAAUUCCAGGUGUAGCGGUGAAAUGCGUAGAUAUCUGGAGGAACACCGGUGGCGAAGGCGACAUCCUGGACCGGUAUUGACGCUGAGGCGCGAAAGCCAGGGGAGCAAACGGGAUUAGAUACCCCGGUAGUCCUGGCCCUAAACGAUGAAUGCUUGGUGUGGCGGGUAUCGAUCCCUGCCGUGCCGAAGCUAACGCAUUAAGCAUUCCGCCUGGGGAGUACGGUCGCAAGGCUGAAACUCAAAUGAAUUGACGG